UCUCUCUCUUUCCCUAUCACGUUUUCACUCCCCCUCUCUGUCUAACCCUAAAAAUACGUCGUCGAUAUCACCAUCAUUGCAGGGAGUCAUCGUCGCCGCCAUCCUUAAUCAGUACUGUCAUCACCGUCGCCACCGUCCCUAAUCAGUACUGUCGUCGCCGUCGCGUCCACAGCCAAUCAUUUGAGGAUUAUGUGCCCACUGUGUUCGACAAAUUCAGUGCAAAUGUAGUUGUCAAUGGAGCCACUGUCAAUCUAGGGUUAUGGGAUACUGCUGAUGGCAGGUGAAAAGAGGAGUAAGAAAACAAAGAAAGCUAAGGAGACGGGGGUUCCCCGGAGACCACCAGAAAACCUUGCGAUUAGAGAUAGAAGCCCGUCGCCACGUCUCCCACCACGCAGCGCUCCAUUGCCUCAUGAUCCCCUCAUGAAUGGCAUUUCAUAUAGUCUUCCACCUCCAUAUGAUUUGUGGAUUGUGUAAGUGUUUUGUCGAUGUUUGCGAGGGGUGAAGUAGUCUAAUGUUGUAUACUAACUUAGUGUAAACUAGUUUAAUGUUUUGUGGAUGUUUACAAUUGUUGAAGUAGUUUAGUGUUGUUUUGAUGUUUGCGAAAGUUGAAGUAGCUUAAUGUCUCUUGUGAAUGUUUGAUUGAUGUUUUUAUUCAACUUUGAAGUAGUUUCGAAUUGAAUUUGAUGAAUUGGUGGUUGUAAUAUAUGUGUUGUAAUAGUAGCUUAAUGUUUUACGUAUUUAUAGUAGUUUGGUGUA
Molecule: long non-coding RNA, 756 nt
Organism: Lycium barbarum (goji berry)
Lineage: Eukaryota; Viridiplantae; Streptophyta; Magnoliopsida; Solanales; Solanaceae
Exons: 3
Source: RefSeq, a predicted model, not a curated record